RNAcentral lists this unclassified non-coding RNA (90 nucleotides) under Pseudomonas koreensis. Lineage: Bacteria; Pseudomonadati; Pseudomonadota; Gammaproteobacteria; Pseudomonadales; Pseudomonadaceae. The record is from RNAcentral.
UGUGGGAGCGAGCCUGCUCGCGAUGGCGGUGGGUCAGUCGAUAUUUAUAUUGAAUGAUCAAUUACCUUCGCGAGCAGGCUCGCUCCCACA